RNAcentral lists this ribosomal RNA (116 nucleotides) under Castor canadensis (American beaver). The record is from RNAcentral. Lineage: Eukaryota; Metazoa; Chordata; Mammalia; Rodentia; Castoridae.
GUCUAUGGCCAUACCACCCUGAAUGAAGCUGAUCUCGUCUAAUCUCAGCAGCUAAGCAGAGUUGGGCCUGGUUAGUACUUGAGUGGGAGAAAAAGAAAACUUGAGUCCAUUUGAUC